This 26-nucleotide non-coding RNA is filed under the name Homo sapiens (human). The record is from RNAcentral. Lineage: Eukaryota; Metazoa; Chordata; Mammalia; Primates; Hominidae.
UGAGUGGAAACAGGUCCAUGGUGAGA